Mesoplodon densirostris (Blainville's beaked whale) is the source of this 2132-nucleotide long non-coding RNA. RefSeq lists it as uncharacterized. The transcript has 3 exons. The record is from RefSeq and is a predicted model, not a curated record. Lineage: Eukaryota; Metazoa; Chordata; Mammalia; Artiodactyla; Ziphiidae.
GAGAGAAGAAGGUAGUGGCUGCUUUGGGGAAUGGAGGAGGCGGAAAAGAAUGUAAAGAGUGAAGAUGGAGAAAUAAGAUGAGGAAGUGGUGAUGAGAACCAAGGAAGAGAGAACGUCAGAGUGGUGCUGAGAAAGAAUAGACUUUUCUUCUGGUAAAGGGCGGCAGAGGGGAAGAAUCCAGCUGAUCACUACACAGGGCUUCUGGCUCCAGGAAUAACAGACCAUCUGGUGUCCAACUCCUUCAAAAUGAUGAGAACACCUGGACCCAGAGAAGUUAUGCAAAGUGCUCAAGCUCACACAAAGUGAUUUCUCUGGCUGCUAUGCUAGGAAUAAAUUAAAGGGUGACAAGAGCAAAAGCAGUGAGACAAGCUAAGAGAUCAGUGUAAUCAUCUAUGCAAGAAAGCCUGAUGCCUCUGACCAAGGUGCUAGCUGUGGAGAUGGUGAUGAGUGAUUGGAAAUUGAGCCAACAGGAGUUCCUGACAUGGAUAUGGAUAAGAAAAUGAGAAGAGACAAAGAUGACACCAAGAUUUGGGGCAUGAGUAAUUAGAAAGAUAAAACUGUUAAUCACUGAAAUGAGCAAGAUUUAAGAGGAGUAAAUUUUGGGGGAAAGAGUCAUGAGUUCAUUUUUAAACAUGUCAAGUUUGUGAUGCUUAUUAGAUAUCCAGGUAGGAGUGUCAAGAAAGUAGUUAGAUCUGUAAGGAUGGAAUUUAAGUUCUGAUAAUAAGAGUCUUCAGCUUCUAUAUGGUGCUUAAAGAUAUGAGACUGUAUAAGAGCAUCAAGUCAGUGGGUACAGACAGACAGGAGUACUGGGGCACUGCACUGUUUAGAGGUCAGGAAAUAAGAAAGAACCCGCAAAGGAGCCUACGAAGGAAAGGCCACCUUGGUAAGGAUUUUAAUUAUAGACCGUGGAAUUUAAGUUGUCUAAGGAAGGAAGAAAAAUCAUGAAUGGAGUGAUGGGACAAUAUUUUUUUUUAAUUUUUUUUUAUACAGCAGGUUCUUACUAGUUAUCUAUUUUAUAUAUAUUAGUGCAUAUAUGUCAAUCCUAAUCUCCCAAUUCAUCCCACCACCCUGCCCCCACUUGGGACAAUAUUAUUUUAAUUAAAAAAAAAGAACUUUGCACUAUUGAAUGAUGGAUUUAAAAUUUAGUGUCAUAACAUGAUAAGCACACUCAAAAAUGCAUUCUUCCAUUUUGAUCUAUAUUUCUUCAUGAGGUAAUUUUUCAGUUAUGACGGUCAAAACCAUGAAUCAAGGUAAGGUAAAUUAACCUAGACUAUAACUUUCAAAUUAUUAUAUUAAAAAGUAUUAAACUAAGAUUAUAAAAGAAACUAUAAAAAGAAAAGAUUAUAAAAAGAAAAUAAAAGAAACACAUUUAUCAAAUUACUUUACUAAAAUAUUAUUUCAAUUAUUUUAGAAAUCUUUAUAUUAUAUAUUUUCAUAUUAUAUAAAUAUAACAUUUUGGUAAAAGCAAAAUGGUUUUGCACUGUGGAUAAACAACAUUAAGCAUAUUAUCUGGUUCAUCCUUAUAAAUUUCUAUUGUGUAUCUUUUAAUAUACAGAGUAUUAGAACUUGUAUAAAACUUAUAAUAAAUUAGCAUAUAUAUUGGGAUUGUACUCAAGAACAUUUUGUUGAUAGAGAGGCGCAAUCAAAAAGGUUGGGAAGUCACUGUUCUAGGAGAUAAAUCACUGGAUUCCUACAAUUGCUUUUGCUAUUAUUAAUAAUAAUGUUGUACAUUGGAUGAAUGGAUAAAGAAAAUGUGGCAUAUAUAUACAAUGGGAUAUUACUCAGCCAUAAAAAGAAACAAAAUUGAGUUAUUUGUAGUGAGGUGGAUGGACCUAGAGUCUGUCAUACAGAGCGCAGUAAGUCAGAAAGAGAAAGACAAAUACCAUAUGCUAAAACACAUAUAUAUGGAAUAUAAGAAAAAAAAUGUCAUGAAGAACCUAGGGGUAAGACAGGAAUAAAGACACAGACCUACUAGAGAAUGGACUUGAGGAUAUGGGGAGGGGGAAGGGUAAGCUGUGACAAAGUGAGAGAGUGGCAUGGACAUAUAUACACUACCAAACGUAAAAUAGAUAGCUAGUGGGAAGCAGCCGCAUAGCACAGGGAGAUCAGCUCAGUGCUUUGUGACCACAUGG